CGAGCGAAAUAUUGGGAGCUUGCUUUUGAUUAUUUUAGCGGCGGACGGGUGAGUAACGUGUGGGUAACCUGCCUUUUACUGGGGAAUAAUCACUGGAAACGGUGACUAAUACCGCAUACGGUUCUUGGAAGGCAUCUUCUAGGAAAGAAAGGAUUUAUUCGGUAAAAGAUGGGCCCGCAUCUGAUUAGCUAGUUGGUGAGAUAACAGCCCACCAAGGCGACGAUCAGUAGCCGACCUGAGAGGGUGACCGGCCACAUUGGGACUGAGACACGGCCCAAACUCCUACGGGAGGCAGCAGUGGGGAAUAUUGCACAAUGGGCGAAAGCCUGAUGCAGCAACGCCGCGUGAAGGAAGACGGUUUUCGGAUUGUAAACUUCUAUCAAUAGGGAAGAAAGGAAUGACGGUACCUAAAUAAGAAGCCCCGGCUAACUACGUGCCAGCAGCCGCGGUAAUACGUAGGGGGCAAGCGUUAUCCGGAAUUACUGGGUGUAAAGGGAGAGUAGGCGGCAAGGUAAGCGAUAUGUGAAAGCCUUAGGCUUAACCUGAGGAUUGCAUAACGAACUAUCUAGCUAGAGUACAGGAGAGGAAAGCGGAAUUCUUAGUGUAGCGGUGAAAUGCGUAGAUAUUAGGAAGAACACCAGUGGCGAAGGCGGCUUUCUGGACUGAAACUGACGCUGAGGCUCGAAAGCGUGGGGAGCGAACAGGAUUAGAUACCCUGGUAGUCCACGCUGUAAACGAUGAGUGCUAGGUGUCGGGGAGGAAAUCCUCGGUGCCGG
This 776-nucleotide ribosomal RNA is filed under the name uncultured bacterium. RNAcentral's name for it is "bacterial SSU rRNA". It matches the Rfam family "Bacterial small subunit ribosomal RNA", at positions 63 to 849 of the family's 1533-position model. The record is from RNAcentral.